Haliotis rubra (blacklip abalone) is the source of this 418-nucleotide long non-coding RNA. RefSeq lists it as uncharacterized. The transcript is spliced from 2 exons. The record is from RefSeq and is a predicted model, not a curated record. Lineage: Eukaryota; Metazoa; Mollusca; Gastropoda; Lepetellida; Haliotidae.
CACGUGAUCAUGAGCGUGCACUGUGUGCUUUCACGAUGGAGAUGAGCGACAGUGAAGACGCCAUUUUGUCAGAACUUCACAGGACAUUCAGGAAAGGUUACCACAGUUACACGUCUUUGUGGGAAUAAGGUCGAUGAACAAUUGGUCAUGGAACGAACAGGCCACAGAAGCUCGGCAGUAAGGCUGUACAAGAGAACUUCUGACGGUCUUCAGAAGGAGAUAUCGGACAUGCUGCAACCACCAGCACCAGACACGAAGGCCACAGGUACAUCUUCCCCACCAUCAAAGAAGAUUGCAAUCGAGACAGCAGAUAAUCAAGAUGCCGCUAAUGAACAGCGAAUCAAAUUUACAUGUACUAACUCCGUGGGAAACAUCAUUAAUAUCAGUUUGUAACAGGUCCAGAAUAAAUGACUAAAAU